GACUUUACUUCGAACUUCUUCCAGACUUCGUCAAUGUCCGAGCUACUCCAACGGCAGGAUUUCUACGAUAACUAGACUCCAUCCAAAUUUCUACAGAGGUCGACCACCUUCCAGACUUCAUCCGAGCUCCUACAAGAGUCGAACUCCAUCCAAACUUCCACAGUGGACGGAUCACAGACAAUGGAUAGGUUCCACUAGUCGGACCUCUACUCCGAACUUCUUCGGGACUUCAUCAAUGAUCGAGCUUCUCCAGCAGUGGGACUUCUACAAUAAGAAGUCUCCAUCCGAGCUUCUAUGAUAAUCGGUCUUCGUCCGAGCUUCUACAAUAAGCAGACUCUUUUCAGACUCCUACAAAAGUCGGACUCCGUCCGAACUUUCGCAGUAGAAUUGAAUAUUGAAUCUUGGACCUCUCCGAUGGAUAAUCUUCAGAUGAGCUUCCACAUCAAAAAAAUCUCAGAUGGACUUCUCUAGCAAUUGGACUCCUACUGGACUUCACCAAUAGAAAGUCUCCGUUCGAACUUCUACAGCAGAUGACUCCCGUCUGUAGCAUCAGCACUCAAGGCAUCUGACAACAGCAGACUCGUCAGCAACCUCAAAAAUAUUCGAGCUUCUCCUGGAUUGCUGAGACAGAGAGCCAUUCCGCUCCAUC
This 649-nucleotide long non-coding RNA is filed under the name Elaeis guineensis (African oil palm). RNAcentral's name for it is "long non-coding RNA (EGUI_LNC051505)". The record is from RNAcentral. Lineage: Eukaryota; Viridiplantae; Streptophyta; Magnoliopsida; Arecales; Arecaceae.